UACAGAGGGGGCAAGCGUUGUUCGGAAUUACUGGGCGUAAAGCGCGCGUAGGCGGACCUGCAAGUCGGGGGUGAAAGCCCGAGGCUCAACCUCGGAACUGCCUUCGAUACUGCGGGUCUCGAGUCCGGGAGAGGUGAGUGGAAUUCCUAGUGUAGAGGUGAAAUUCGUAGAUAUUAGGAAGAACACCAGUGGCGAAGGCGGCUCACUGGCCCGGUACUGACGCUGAGGCGCGAAAGCGUGGGGAGCAAACAGGG
This 254-nucleotide ribosomal RNA is filed under the name uncultured bacterium. RNAcentral describes it as "partial 16S ribosomal RNA". It matches the Rfam family "Bacterial small subunit ribosomal RNA", at positions 524 to 777 of the family's 1533-position model. The record is from RNAcentral.